CCCUUAGAUGUCCGGGGCCGCACACGCGCUACACUGAAGGAAUCAGCGUGGCUUUCUCCCUGACCCGAAAGGGUUGGGAAACCCGUUGAAUCUCCUUCGUGAUAGGGAUUGGGGCUUGAAAUUGUUCCCCAUGAACGAGGAAUUCCCAGUAAGCGCGAGUUAUAAGCUCGCGUUGAUUACGUCCCUGCCCUUUGUACACACCGCCCGUCGCUACUACCGAUUGAACGGUUUAGUGAGGGCCUCGGAUUGGUCUCGGCCCGCUCUUUACCGGGCGGCGCCGUUGGUCGAGAAGACGCUCGAACUUGAUCGUUUAGAGGAAGUAAAAGUCGUAACA
This 334-nucleotide ribosomal RNA is filed under the name uncultured eukaryote. Its description in RNAcentral is "partial 18S ribosomal RNA". It matches the Rfam family "Eukaryotic small subunit ribosomal RNA", at positions 1470 to 1796 of the family's 1831-position model. The record is from RNAcentral.